RNAcentral lists this transfer RNA (74 nucleotides) under Alosa alosa (allis shad). Its description in RNAcentral is "tRNA-OTHER". The record is from RNAcentral. Lineage: Eukaryota; Metazoa; Chordata; Actinopteri; Clupeiformes; Clupeidae.
GCAGCCGUGGCCUACUGGUUAGGGCUUCAGGCUUGGAACCAAAAGGUUGCCGGUUCGAUCCCCGACCAGUAGGA